Molecule: long non-coding RNA, 716 nt
Organism: Glycine soja
Lineage: Eukaryota; Viridiplantae; Streptophyta; Magnoliopsida; Fabales; Fabaceae
Exons: 2
Source: RefSeq, a predicted model, not a curated record
UUUUUUUUUUUACUUUGAGCAGAUUGAGGUGAGAGAGAGGACUCCAAUUCCAAUCCAUGUUCCGGCACAAGAGUGGGAUCUUACUCUGUCUGAGCGGUAACUAAGUAGGAAAAGAGAAAUGGAAAAGAAAAGCGUCACUACCAUCCAGAUCCGUGAUUGAGCAAAUCGACAUCGUGCUGCUGCGAAUCAGAUCGAAGUUGCAACAAUGGCGAAGCCUGAAUCGCAAGAGCAUCCAUGGAUCUCGAAUGCAGUUCCUUUGUUGGUGGUUCUUUUAAUUGCACUUCACGUCUUCGCCUUGGUGUAUUGGAUUUACAGAUUGGCCACUGACAAUAAGCCACAACAGCAGCAGCAACUACAACAGCAACAUCAACAGAGAACAAAGGCUCAUUGACCGACUACAACAACAACGUUCUCAUUCAAUUUCAUUUUCUUCAAACAAUUGUUGUAUGAAAUUGUGUGCAGUAAAGGAUAGGAUUUUAUUUUUGGUAUAACAGUGAUUUAUGAGGUUUCGUUUAAUUUUAAAUUUUAGUGUUACUGAUAUAGUCGAUGCUGUUUGCUUCCACUAGCUAGUAGUGUGCUUUCUGUUGUGCCAAAAUUGAAUUAUGUGUGUGGAAUAUAGUCAAGCUACAAUGCAAUUUAGUUCAUCUCAUGUUAGUUGUAUUGUAUGCUUAGAGUAUGUUUAUAUCAAUAAUUCAAUACAAGAUGUAUCACAUUAA